This 554-nucleotide ribosomal RNA is filed under the name Pelecus cultratus. RNAcentral describes it as "partial 16S ribosomal RNA". It matches the Rfam family "Bacterial large subunit ribosomal RNA", at positions 1845 to 2596 of the family's 2925-position model. The record is from RNAcentral. Lineage: Eukaryota; Metazoa; Chordata; Actinopteri; Cypriniformes; Leuciscidae.
AUAGGAGGUCCAGCCUGCCCAGUGACUACGGGUUCAACGGCCGCGGUAUUUUGACCGUGCAAAGGUAGCGCAAUCACUUGUCUCUUAAAUAGAGACCUGUAUGAAUGGCUAGACGAGGGCUUAGCUGUCUCCCCCUUCCAGUCAGUGAAAUUGAUCUAUCCGUGCAGAAGCGGGUAUAAUUAUACAAGACGAGAAGACCCUUUGGAGCUUAAGGUACAAAAUUCAACCACGUUAAACAACUCCAUAAAAAGUACGAACUUAGUGGCAUAUGAAAUUUUACCUUCGGUUGGGGCGACCACGGAGGAAAAAUAAGCCUCCGAGUGGACUGGGCCAAAUACCCAAAGCCAAAAGAUACAUCUUUAAGCCGCAGAAUAUCUGACCAAAAAUGAUCCGACUAAUAAAGCCGAUCAACGAACCAAGUUACCCUAGGGAUAACAGCGCAAUCCUCUCCCAGAGUCCAUAUCGACGAGGGGGUUUACGACCUCGAUGUUGGAUCAGGACAUCCUAAUGGUGCAGCCGCUAUUAAGGGUUCGUUUGUUCAACGAUUAAAGUCC